This 22-nucleotide microRNA is filed under the name Sarcophilus harrisii (Tasmanian devil). RNAcentral's name for it is "Sha-Mir-12475-P18_3p* (star (passenger))". Lineage: Eukaryota; Metazoa; Chordata; Mammalia; Dasyuromorphia; Dasyuridae. The record is from RNAcentral.
CAAUGUGUCUCAGAUCAGUUGC